AUUUCAAUUACUGAUCGAUUUUUCAAACAAACCCUAAGAAAAACAUGACACUAACCCUUGAAAAGAAAAUGAAAAAGAAUAGCAAACUACAUAAAUAAUCCCUUUAAAUUGUCCACAACGAUCAGAUAAAACUUUAAAUUAUCCAAAACGAUCAGACAAACACCUCAACUGACCCCUUUAUUAUUUAGACACUUAAAAUGUGUAUUAAGCGUAUCAAAUUAAACACAUAUUACUGAUGUGGUAUAUGCGUAUUUACUCAUAAAAGUUUGAGCGCGUGAAUCAGUUUUUCAGCCUAAUCUUUUUCCUUUGAAAAAAACUAAGAAUCAGUCGUAGCUUGGCCUCUUUUCUUCGCUUGACUAAAUCACGUCGACGUCUCAACAGCAACCCACAAUGAAAUUACCAUAGAGACCAUGAAUAUCAUCCACUAAAACUCCAACCAAGACACCAUAAAUCACCAAAAGCUGCCCCUUUCAUCACAAAAUUCCAUUUUUCGUAACCUCCAAAGCUCCGCGUAAUUCUUUCGAAUCAAAACUAAUCCCAAACCCAACUGAAAUAAGCAACAAAAAUUAUAGCAACAACAAUUGCGAAAAAACACAAAAUCUUCACUAGAUAAACACCUCCUUUAAUCCAUCAACACCUUCAUUGCAAUAGAAAUACAUAAACAACAACCAAUUAUUUGACUCGAACGAUAAUACUAAGGAUAAUUUUACAUCAUAAAUAAUUACAGAAGUAAAAGUGACAUAAGCCCAGACUCAAAGUCAAGGAAUUGAUGAAGAUAGAAGAGUGAUGAUUCUAGUUGAAUUGUUUUGUUCAUAUUUGCUUGGAGAUCAAUUUUCGGCGAAAUAGGUCGCAUGAGAGGAGCUUUUCCCGGCAUGGUCUAUCAUUGAUCCCUUUGUGGGAAGGGGAAGGGGUCAGAUAGGAAGGACUUGUUUUUAAUUUGUUGGGUGGAGGGCAAAUUUAGGGGGAAAGGAAUAGAGGAUGCAGAAGAUGGACAGAAGGAAGAAGAUGAAGAGGGUGGGGGUGGCGUUGGUUUUUUAUGGAAGAAGGAGAUGAAGUUGGGGGAAUGGGGGAGGGAUGGAAGAUGGCGUUGGUUUGGUAAAAAGAUGAGGGAAAGGGAUUUUUUCUUCCUAGAUGCAUUUUAUUUUUUGUUAAUUAUAUGUCUUAAUUCUAUUAUAAAUUGCACGUUUUAUUCAUUAAUUGACCCUAUUGACAUGUAAUUGGCAAGUAUAACUCACUCAUAUAAUUUAUUGUACGCAGAUAUUUACUUAAUAUUCUUAGUAGACAUUUGAAGUGUCUAAAUAAUAAAGGGACAGUUUAGGUGUCUGGAUAAUCACUGUGGAUAACUUAAAUGCACCAUUUAUGUAUUUUGCCAAAAAUAAACCAUGUAAUUGUAAAAAUAUUUUAGAAAAAAAUCAUGUAAUGGGAAAUAAGUUAUACUCAUACCAAUUUUUA
This 1452-nucleotide long non-coding RNA is filed under the name Nicotiana benthamiana. Its description in RNAcentral is "long non-coding RNA (NBEN_LNC011146)". Lineage: Eukaryota; Viridiplantae; Streptophyta; Magnoliopsida; Solanales; Solanaceae. The record is from RNAcentral.